Pezoporus occidentalis (night parrot) is the source of this 321-nucleotide long non-coding RNA. RefSeq lists it as uncharacterized. NCBI's taxonomy places the organism in Eukaryota, Metazoa, Chordata, Aves, Psittaciformes, Psittacidae. The transcript has 3 exons. The record is from RefSeq and is a predicted model, not a curated record.
UGGUCCUGCCACCUUGUGCAGUUUUCUGCCCUGUUCCCAGGCCCAGGCCUCCAAGUUCAAGGUGGAGGAUCUGCAUUUUAUUUUGCUGGACCUAAGGAGAUUCAGCUGAGGGAUUGUUGCAGUUAUGCUAGAGCGAGUGCCCUCCCCUACACUGAAAGAUUGUUUCUCUACUAUCACCAGAGAAGCUGAUCCCCACUGACUGAGCACUAAGUGACACUGGAACAUGAAGAGAACAAGGAAAGUUCAAGGAUACCACAGGUGACAUACUUGCUGUGAAGGCCAGGCUGGAUGAGCUUCUGAGCAACCUCAGAGUUGAAGAUU